GACGAACGCUGGCGGCGUGCUUAACACAUGCAAGUCGAACGGUAAGGCCCUUCGGGGUACACGAGUGGCGAACGGGUGAGUAACACGUGGUGAUCUGCCCUGCACUUCGGGAUAAGCUUGGGAAACUGGGUCUAAUACCGGAUAGGACCACGGUCUGCAUGGAUUGUGGUGGAAAGCUUUUGCGGUGUGGGAUGGGCCCGCGGCCUAUCAGCUUGUUGGUGGGGUGAUGGCCUACCAAGGCGACGACGGGUAGCCGGCCUGAGAGGGUGUCCGGCCACACUGGGACUGAGAUACGGGCCCAGACUCCUACGGGAGGCAGCAGUGGGGAAUAUUGCACAAUGGGCGCAAGCCUGAUGCAGCGACGCCGCGU
This 370-nucleotide ribosomal RNA is filed under the name uncultured bacterium. RNAcentral's name for it is "bacterial SSU rRNA". It matches the Rfam family "Bacterial small subunit ribosomal RNA", at positions 28 to 402 of the family's 1533-position model. The record is from RNAcentral.